UGAGUAAUCUGCCCUUCUCAUCGGAAUAAGCGUUGGAAACGACGUCUAAUGCCGAAUAUGACCUCCUUACACAUGAUCGGAGGUGGAAAGCUCCGGCGGAGAAGGAUGAGCUCGCGGCCUAUCAGCUAGUUGGUGUGGGUAACGGCCCACCAAGGCGACGACGGGUAGCUGGUCCGAGAGGAUGACCAGCCACAUUGGGACUGAGACACGGCCCAGACUCCUAGGGAGG
Molecule: ribosomal RNA, 229 nt
Filed under: uncultured bacterium
Lineage: Bacteria
Description: partial 16S ribosomal RNA
Rfam family: Bacterial small subunit ribosomal RNA
Source: RNAcentral